Molecule: ribosomal RNA, 388 nt
Filed under: uncultured bacterium
Lineage: Bacteria
Description: bacterial SSU rRNA
Rfam family: Bacterial small subunit ribosomal RNA
Source: RNAcentral
GACGAACGCUGGCGGCGUGCUUAACACAUGCAAGUCGAGCGGUAAGGCCCUUUCGGGGGUACACGAGCGGCGAACGGGUGAGUAACACGUGGGUGACCUGCCCUCAGCUCUGGGAUAAGCCUGGGAAACCGGGUCUAAUACUGGAUAUGACUCCAUGACGCAUGUUGUGGGGUGGAAAGCCUUGUGCGGCUGAGGAUGGGCCCGCGGCCUAUCAGCCUGUUGGUGGGGUGAUGGCCUACCAAGGCGACGACGGGUAGCCGGCCUGAGAGGGCGACCGGCCACACUGGGACUGAGACACGGCCCAGACUCCUACGGGAGGCAGCAGUGGGGAAUCUUGCGCAAUGGGCGAAAGCCUGACGCAGCGACGCCGCGUGAGGGAUGACGGCCU